GGGGAGAGAGGCACAGCAAUAAUAGAAACAGAUGCAUGUCAUAUUACAAUAAUGAUAGGUGUGUAGUGAGGUAUAGCACCUGACAGUUGAGUAGCGCUUGUGAACGCACCUCCAGACUCCACUCCUCAGUAGCCACUCCCUUAAUCACAGCCAGCCUAUAUAAGGGACGAGUGAGCACAUGCUCCUUCUUUUUGGCUGCUGGUUCCUGUGUGUGGUGGCUGCUGUUUGCUGUACUGGCUGGAGGUAGCAGUGGUGUCUGAGCCUUCCUGCUGUAGUGGUCUGGUAAUCCAGGUGGUUCACGUGAUUUACUGCUGUUUUGCCCUCAUUUUGCUUCUGUUUGGUUGUUUGGUUUCCUGUUUUGCUCUUUGUAUUUUGCUCUUAGUUUUGCUUUUUUAUUCUUAUUUGCCUUUACAUCCUAUUGAGUGAUUUCUUUGAAUAUAUUAAAACUGGGUUGCUGUAUUUGUUAAUUUUGCUAUUAGCAUUUUUCUUUUAGUGAAGUGGAGCACCAUUUUGUUGGGGAGGCUAGGCACCCCGGGUGAGGUUCCUACACAUUGCACGUAAGUAAAGGCACCGGGACACGAUUGCUGUUCUUGAGAUUGCUGUGAGGAU
Non-coding RNA from Plectropomus leopardus (leopard coralgrouper), 609 nucleotides. NCBI's taxonomy places the organism in Eukaryota, Metazoa, Chordata, Actinopteri, Perciformes, Serranidae. The record is from RefSeq and is a predicted model, not a curated record.